This is a long non-coding RNA of Mus musculus (house mouse), 2578 nucleotides long. RefSeq annotates it as predicted gene, 30215. The record is from RefSeq and is a predicted model, not a curated record. NCBI's taxonomy places the organism in Eukaryota, Metazoa, Chordata, Mammalia, Rodentia, Muridae. The transcript is spliced from 4 exons.
CGCAAGUCCUAAGGGGUCUCAUAGAUGGGGAAGAUGGUAGUGUAGCGGUAGAUCUGCCCAAUCUAGGUGCACAGCUUGUAUUCAUGUUAAUUGAGUUGAGUUUUCAUUGCCCCGACUUAUUUGGGUUGGAGAUUUACUGCAACACAUUAGCAUAAUUUUAAAAUUAAGGAAAAAAAGGGACUUUGUUAGAGGAAGUGGUUCAGUGGUUAAGAAUACUUGCUGCUCUUUUGGGCUGGAGUUUAUUUCCGAGUAAAAAUUUCUCGCCCUUUUCCCAGUGAGGCAUUUUACGCUUGUCUCACUGCUCCUCUUAGGACCGCCGGUCUGCAGCUCGGUCUUUCCUCGUGGGAUUGUGGUUUUGCAAUGAUAGUGCCAGGUCUGAUGGAGGAGGCCGAUAAGGGUUACCACGCAGAAAGGACCUGGGCUGAUACUCUGUGGGUAGCAGCGAUUCCUGCACAAGGCCGAUGACCCCAGUUUGACCCAUGGAGCUCACAGAGAAAAACUGGCUACCCUGACUUCUUCGUCACACUGAUUGCUGAGGCGGCAUGUUUUCCUUCACACUGACAAUCUGAAGAGAUUUUCUUCAAAGGAAGAGAAAGGCUCCGCUGCCUGGGGUGUGUUGACCAGCUCUGCGACUGACUUCUGCUGCGCUGGAAGGUGAAAUGCCCUCUCAUAGGCUCAGGGCACACAGCAGGCUGUGGGUUUUUACUCCGGGCAUGUGAACACAGAGAGAAGGCAGCUGCUCAAUGCUGUCAAAGAGUUGGCUCAUCCAUCUGGCUUGCAGCAUGGCUGCGAUUGCCGCGGAUCUGGAUCGGAUGCCAGGCUCCUCAUCUACGUUGUCCUGUUAUGCGAGGGGGAGAGGAGGCUCCACCCAGAGCUGAGAUGGACUUCAAAGGCGACUGUGGCGUCUUCUCCUUGUACCCCACCGACUUUCAAGAGGGUUUCACAGCAAAAGAAGAUAAAUCAGGAUGCGCUGUGGUUUGUAAGCAGGAAACGUACCAAUGCCUCACUCGUUACAGAGGAGUGGUUGUCGGUGAAAAACCUGAGGUGUGAAAGGCUGAGAGGCAUAGUAGGUGACUGUAGGUGACAUUCAUGCACUAUGCAUUUCCAAAAGGGCACGGGAAGGCUUCUCCCCCCUCCCCCCCCACCUAAAUUAGUGGCAAACACUUAUGGGGACAAAUAUUGAGUCUGAAAGGAAACUUCAUACAUUGGAUAUAUGCAUCAAAAUAUUGCAUGGCACUCCAUAAGUAUUGUUUUAAAAGUGUCUUUAUGUAUAAGCUAAAAGAUAACUUUAAGUGAAAAGUGUUCAGGGGACCGAGUGUGUGACAUGCCUUGUGCCUGCCAUGUCUGCUCUUGGGAGGCUAAGGCAGGAGAUCAUGGGUCUGAGUUCAGCGUGAGCCACAGAAGUUCAAGUUCAUGUCAGUUAUGCUAAUUUUAGCACUGCACAUUCCACAGAUGUAUAAACUAUACUGCAUCCCAUAAUAUGUGCUGCUACAAUAAUAACUGCACUGUGUGAGUCAUAUUCUCGUACUUGGUAUUGGCUUGGGUAUUUGGGUAUUUGACUAAAGCUUACACUAAAAGGUACUUCUCACCUGGUAACUUUCUAGAGCUGGAGGGAGGAUGCUCGGAAAGAGUUGAACUUUGACCUCUUACCUAUUGAGCUUAAGAAGCAGCACUGGCAUAGAUACACGCGUGGGAAAAAUAGUUUGUGGGUGAGAGGAAGAGAACAAAGGGCAGGGUAUAGAGAACUGAGAAGGAGGAAGGGGCUGUGGUGAUGGCUCAGCGGGUCCCAUGCUUGCUGAGCCAGCAUAAAGCCUGAGCUUGGAUCCCUAGCCUCUGAUGCUUCUGAUCUCAGGGCUAGAGGUGAAGAUGGGGAUCCUGGAGCUUGCUUCACAACCAGCCUAGCCCUUCCCCCCCUCCCUCCCUCCUUCUCCUCCCUCUCUCCCUUCCUGAGACAGGGUUUCUCUGGGUAGCCCUUGGCUGUCCUGGAACUCACUCUGUAGACCAAGCCGUGGUUUGAACUCAGAGAUCCACCUGCCUCUGCCUUCUGAGUGCUGGGAUUAAAGGCAUGUGCCACCAUACCCGGCCAAUAUUAUAGUCUCAAAAAAAGAAAUAAAUAAAAAGAAGUAAUAAAAGAAAUAAGAUAGAGUGAUAGAGGAAGAGACUUGAUUUGUCUUUUGGUUUCCACCUGUGCAAAUGAGCAUGUUCACAGGUGUACACUAUAAGACAGACAGACAGACACACACACACACACACACACACACACACACACACACACACACACAGAGUAGUUUCUUCUUCUGUGACAAAUAACUCCAGAGGCAGAAAACCAGCUACAACCUCUUGAAUUCCCUUCAGGCUCCAUUCUGAGAUGUGAUUAAGUCCAUUUACUGUUUCUUAUCUUUCAUAACAUCAAUUCACUUGUACUUACCCUGAAGAUUUUUUUAUAGAAUUUAUUGUUUAUUCAUUUGCACAAACAUUGUGGAUUGUGAAGAAUAAUCUUAAAAAUCAUGUGUCUGUGUGUGUGUGUGUGUAUGUGUGUCACAUAUUAAGGUCAAAGAAAAAUUUUUUUUUGGUGUUU